CUAAAACAAUAUAUCAAGCAACAUAGUGCUUUCGAGCCUUUCGAGCUGAGAGUCUGGGAAAUAUCUAAAAGAUGGCAUCGAUUCGAAAUAAAGUUGCAGUGUUGCUGUUAUAUGUUGUGUUGACUGACAGCCGUAGGAAUGCAUCAAAGAAUUGUACGAAUGAUACAAAAUAAUUGAUCAAACCAAAAAUUUAUAUUGAAAACGACACAGAGGUGUUCUCAUUUGAUGAAGGAAAGAAUUUGACGUUUCUACAACGUAACGUCUUAUCCUGCUGCCGACAUCUUUUGGUGGCGUUUAAAAUAUGAUGGAUCCAACGAGCAGAUUGUAACAAGUUGUUCUGCGGCUGAGCAACAUUGCAAAUAUCAUGACGGAAAAAAAAUUACAAGAAACAAAUUUGAAGUAAAGUCUGUCAGAUUCCCUGAUGAUAAUAUAACCUACAAGAUCAAUGUAAGCAAUAUGAAAGGAUAUGAGAUCAAGAAUAUUUCAAUACAAAUUCUCGGUUAGUCCUGUUCGAAAAAGUAUUUGAGUUAAGCCUAGCAUUGAAAUUUGAAACGAAAAUAUAGUUUUGAAGAAAGGAUUUUCGGUGUUGAAAUGUACAUUAAACCAGAGACAUUACCCAAAAGAAGUAACCUUCAAAUGGUUCAUCUGCAUAUCUGAUACCUGCUACGACGACAAACAUUGGAAAUACAUUUCAUUCAACUAUUCUUUAAAAGUACAAAAUGAGGGCAGGUACCGCUGCAGUGCAUGCAAUACAGGUGGAACAGCUAUAUCGCCAACAAUAAACGUCGUCAGGGAUAUGUC
Xenia sp. Carnegie-2017 is the source of this 801-nucleotide long non-coding RNA. RefSeq lists it as uncharacterized. Lineage: Eukaryota; Metazoa; Cnidaria; Anthozoa; Malacalcyonacea; Xeniidae. The transcript has 4 exons. The record is from RefSeq and is a predicted model, not a curated record.